This 253-nucleotide ribosomal RNA is filed under the name uncultured bacterium. RNAcentral's name for it is "partial 16S ribosomal RNA". It matches the Rfam family "Bacterial small subunit ribosomal RNA", at positions 524 to 776 of the family's 1533-position model. The record is from RNAcentral.
UACGGAGGGUGCAAGCGUUAUCCGGAUUUACUGGGUUUAAAGGGUGUGUAGGCGGGCAUUUAAGUCAGUGGUGAAAUCUCCGAGCUCAACUUGGAAACUGCCAUUGAUACUAUUGAUCUUGAAUUUUGUUGAGGUAGGCGGAAUAAGUCAUGUAGCGGUGAAAUGCAUAGAUAUGACUUAGAACACCAAUUGCGAAGGCAGCUUACUAAGCAAAUAUUGACGCUGAGGCACGAAAGCGUGGGGAGCAAACAGG